This 535-nucleotide ribosomal RNA is filed under the name Tegosa anieta. RNAcentral describes it as "partial 16S ribosomal RNA". The stretch from base 398 to 535 matches the Rfam family "Bacterial large subunit ribosomal RNA", at positions 2473 to 2611 of the family's 2925-position model. The record is from RNAcentral. Lineage: Eukaryota; Metazoa; Arthropoda; Insecta; Lepidoptera; Nymphalidae.
UCAAAAACAUGUCUUUUUGGUAAUAAUUUAAAGUCUAAUCUGCCCACUGAUAUUAAAUUAAAGGGCUGCAGUAUAUUGACUGUACAAAGGUAGCAUAAUCAUUAGUCUAUUAAUUGUAGACUUGUAUGAAAGAUUUGAUGAAAUAUAAACUGUCUCUAAUUUAUAUGUAGAAAUUAAUUUUUUAGUUAAAAAGCUAAAAUAAUAAUGAAAGACGAGAAGACCCUAUAAAGUUUUAUAGUUUAUUUAUUAAUUUAUUAUUUAUAAAAUUAAGUAUAAUGAAUAUUUAAAUUAUUUUAUUGGGGUGAUAAAAAAAUUAAUUAAACUUUUUUAUAAAAUUAACAUAAAUAAGUGAAAUUAUGAUCCAUUAUUAAUGAUUAAAAGAAGAAAUUACUUUAGGGAUAACAGCGUAAUAUUUUUUUUUAGUUCAGAUAAAAAAAAAAGUUUGCGACCUCGAUUUUGGAUUAAGAUAAAAUUUAAAUGCAAAACUUUAAAAUUUUGAUCUGUUCCAUCAUUAAAAUCUUACAUGAUCUGAGCU